Molecule: ribosomal RNA, 497 nt
Filed under: uncultured bacterium
Lineage: Bacteria
Description: partial 16S ribosomal RNA
Rfam family: Bacterial small subunit ribosomal RNA
Source: RNAcentral
AAUGAACGCUGGCGGCGUGCCUAAUACAUGCAAGUCGAGCGAACAGACGAGGAGCUUGCUCCUCUGAUGUUAGCGGCGGACGGGUGAGUAACACGUGGAUAACCUACCUAUAAGACUGGGAUAACUUCGGGAAACCGGAGCUAAUACCGGAUAACAUGUUGAACCGCAUGGUUCAACAGUGAAAGACAGUCUUGCUGUCACUUAUAGAUGGAUCCGCGCCGCAUUAGCUAGUUGGUAAGGUAACGGCUUACCAAGGCAACGAUGCGUAGCCGACCUGAGAGGGUGAUCGGCCACACUGGAACUGAGACACGGUCCAGACUCCUACGGGAGGCAGCAGUAGGGAAUCUUCCGCAAUGGGCGAAAGCCUGACGGAGCAACGCCGCGUGAGUGAAGAAGGUCUUCGGAUCGUAAAACUCUGUUAUUAGGGAAGAACAAAUGUGUAAGUAACUAUGCACGUCUUGACGGUACCUAAUCAGAAAGCCACGGCUAACUACGUG